RNAcentral lists this transfer RNA (77 nucleotides) under Hydrogenophilus thermoluteolus. RNAcentral's name for it is "tRNA-Arg". It matches the Rfam family "tRNA". Rfam says of the family: Transfer RNA (tRNA) molecules are approximately 80 nucleotides in length. Their secondary structure includes four short double-helical elements and three loops (D, anti-codon, and T loops). Further hydrogen bonds mediate the characteristic L-shaped molecular structure. tRNAs have two regions of fundamental functional importance: the anti-codon, which is responsible for specific mRNA codon recognition, and the 3' end, to which the tRNAs corresponding amino acid is attached (by aminoacyl-tRNA synthetases). tRNAs cope with the degeneracy of the genetic code in two manners: having more than one tRNA (with a specific anti-codon) for a particular amino acid; and 'wobble' base-pairing, i.e. permitting non-standard base-pairing at the 3rd anti-codon position. Lineage: Bacteria; Pseudomonadati; Pseudomonadota; Hydrogenophilia; Hydrogenophilales; Hydrogenophilaceae. RNAcentral also lists the same sequence under 6 other names. The record is from RNAcentral.
CUGCCCGUAGCUCAACUGGAUAGAGCACCGGCCUUCUAAGCCGGGGGUUACAGGUUCGAUCCCUGUCGGGCAGGCCA